GAUGAACGCUGGCGGCGUGCCUAAUACAUGCAAGUAGAACGCUGAAGGAGGAGCUUGCUCUUCUGGAUGAGUUGCGAACGGGUGAGUAACGCGUAGGUAACCUGCCUGGUAGCGGGGGAUAACUAUUGGAAACGAUAGCUAAUACCGCAUGACAACAGUUAUUGCAUGAUAACUGUUUAAAAGGGGCAACUGCUCCACUACCAGAUGGACCUGCGUUGUAUUAGCUAGUUGGUGAGGUAACGGCUCACCAAGGCGACGAUACAUAGCCGACCUGAGAGGGUGAUCGGCCACACUGGGACUGAGACACGGCCCAGACUCCUACGGGAGGCAGCAGUAGGGAAUCUUCGGCAAUGGACGGAAGUCUGACCGAGCAACGCCGCGUGAGUGAAGAAGGUUUUCGGAUCGUAAAGCCCUGUUGUAAGAGAAGAACGAGUGUGAGAGUGGAAAGUUCACACUGUGACGGUAUCUUACCAGAAAGAGACGGCUAACUACGUG
Molecule: ribosomal RNA, 495 nt
Filed under: uncultured bacterium
Lineage: Bacteria
Description: partial 16S ribosomal RNA
Rfam family: Bacterial small subunit ribosomal RNA
Source: RNAcentral